UUUCUACCUUUAAUGGAUUGUCAAGUUUGUAUCCAGAAACCCCAACAAAGAUUUCAGAAAUGACGAGAUCUAGGUUUCUUUAUUUAUUGUUGCCAUCAUCUUUCUCGGAUUCCUGAGAAAAAAACUGAAGAAGCUGAAGGAAAUCCAUUCACUUGCAGAGAUAAUGCAACGAUUUCUAUCGUUGCAAUUGUUUAUAGUGGGAAACCUGAUCGCAGAGCCCUUUUGCAAUAUUUUAUGGUGACAGGAUGUAUUUAUGGAGUUUGCUUACCUUGGGCUAAUAACUUAUUGAAGGGUGCAUACAGUUUGGGAGGAGGAGCACAUUGAUUUGUUAAGAUAAUAAACAUGUCAUUAUGUUCAAAUAAUAAUGUGUAAAUAGUAUGAGGAACAUCAACUUGUCAUUAUGUGCAAAUAAUAAAGAAUAAAUGGCACGAGGAAUAUCAUCUUUGUCAUCGACAGUAAAGAAUAAUUGACAUGAAGAAAUCAACUUGUCAUAGAUAGUGUUGUUAAAAUAGUUGCAUCUGCCAUUUAAAUAUAAUAGUAAUUUCUUUAAGAUUUGUUAGUAA
Molecule: long non-coding RNA, 563 nt
Organism: Cryptomeria japonica (Japanese cedar)
Lineage: Eukaryota; Viridiplantae; Streptophyta; Pinopsida; Cupressales; Cupressaceae
Exons: 3
Source: RefSeq, a predicted model, not a curated record